RNAcentral lists this ribosomal RNA (1449 nucleotides) under uncultured prokaryote. Its description in RNAcentral is "partial 16S ribosomal RNA". It matches the Rfam family "Bacterial small subunit ribosomal RNA". The record is from RNAcentral.
GCUUAACACAUGCAAGUCGAACGCACCUUUCGGGGUGAGUGGCAGACGGGUGAGUAACGCGUGGGAACGUGCCCUUCAGUUCGGAAUAACCCAGGGGAACUUGGGCUAAUACCGGAUACGUGCGAGAGCAGAAAGAUUUAUCGCUGAAGGAUCGGCCCGCGUCUGAUUAGCUAGUUGGUGGGGUAAUGGCCCACCAAGGCGACGAUCAGUAGCUGGUCUGAGAGGAUGAUCAGCCUCACUGGGACUGAGACACGGCCCAGACUCCUACGGGAGGCAGCAGUGGGGAAUAUUGGACAAUGGACGAAAGUCUGAUCCAGCAAUACCGCGUGGACGAUGAAGGCCCUAGGGUUGUAAAGUCCUUUCGGCGGGGAAGAUAAUGACGGUACCCGCAGAAGAAGCCCCGGCUAACUUCGUGCCAGCAGCCGCGGUAAUACGAAGGGGGCGAGCGUUGUUCGGAAUCACUGGGCGUAAAGGGCGCGUAGGCGGCCAAGCAAGUCAGAUGUGAAAGCCCACGGCUCAACCGUGGAAGUGCAUUUGAAACUGCUUGGCUUGAGUAUCAGAGGGGAAAGUGGAAUUCCCGGUGUAGAGGUGAAAUUCGUAGAUAUCGGGAGGAAUACCGGUGGCGAAGGCGACUUUCUGGCUGAAUACUGACGCUGAGGCGCGAAAGCGUGGGGAGCAAACAGGAUUAGAUACCCUGCCCCUAGUCCACGCCGUAAACGAUGUCAACUAGGUGCAGGGGGUGUUGAUCCCCUCUGUGUCGCAGCUAACGCAUUAAGUUGACCGCCUGGGGAGUACGGUCGCAAGAUUAAAACUCAAAGGAAUUGACGGGGGCCCGCACAAGCGGUGGAGUAUGUGGUUUAAUUCGAUGCAACGCGAAGAACCUUACCUGGUCUUGACAUCCCGAAAAAGACCUAGAAAUAGGAAGUGCUCUCUUUGAGAGAAUUUGGUGACAGGUGCUGCAUGGCUGUCGUCAGCUCGUGUCGUGAGAUGUUGGGUUAAGUCCCGCAACGAGCGCAACCCUCGCCAUUAGUUGCCAGCAUUAAGUUGGGCACUCUAAUGGGACUGCCGGUGUCAAACCGGAGGAAGGCGGGGAUGACGUCAAGUCCUCAUGGCCUUUAUGACCAGGGCUACACACGUACUACAAUGGCCGAUACAAAGGGCAGCCACAUGGCGAGGGGGAGCUAAUCCCCAAAAACCGUCUCAGUUCGGAUUGUUCUCUGCAACUCGAGAGCAUGAAGUUGGAAUCGCUAGUAAUCGUGGAUCAGCAUGCCACGGUGAAUACGUUCCCGGGCCUUGUACACACCGCCCGUCACACCAUGGGAGUUGGUUUUACCCGAAGCCGGUGCGCUAACCUGUUUACAGGAGGCAGCCGACCACGGUAGGGUCAGCGACUGGGGUGAAGUCGUAACAAGGUAGCCGUAGGGGAACCUGCGGCUGGAUCACCUCCUU